CCUACGGGUGGCAGCAGUGAGGAAUAUUGGUCAAUGGACGAGAGUCUGAACCAGCAAAGUAGCGUGAAGGAUGACUGCCCUAUGGGUUGUAAACUUCUUUUAUAUGGGAAUAAAAUGUUCCACGUGUGGGAUUUUGUCUGUACCAUAUGAAUAAGGAUCGGCUAACUCCGUGCCAGCAGCCGCGGUAAUACGGAGGAUCCGAGCGUUAUCCGGAUUUAUUGGGUUUAAAGGGAGCGUAGGUGGAUUGUUAAGUCAGUUGUGAAAGUUUGCGGCUCAACCGUAAAAUUGCAGUUGAAACUGGCAGUCUUGAGUACAGUAGAGGUGGGCGGAAUUCGUGGUGUAGCGGUGAAAUGCUUAGAUAUCACGAAGAACUCCGAUUGCGAAGGCAGUUCACUGGACUGCAACUGACACUGAGGCUCGAAAGUGUGGGUAUCAAACAGGAUUAGAUACCCUAGUAGUC
Molecule: ribosomal RNA, 460 nt
Filed under: uncultured bacterium
Lineage: Bacteria
Description: partial 16S ribosomal RNA
Rfam family: Bacterial small subunit ribosomal RNA
Source: RNAcentral